This 496-nucleotide ribosomal RNA is filed under the name uncultured Flavobacterium sp. RNAcentral's name for it is "bacterial SSU rRNA". It matches the Rfam family "Bacterial small subunit ribosomal RNA", at positions 9 to 501 of the family's 1533-position model. The record is from RNAcentral. Lineage: Bacteria; Pseudomonadati; Bacteroidota; Flavobacteriia; Flavobacteriales; Flavobacteriaceae.
GAGUUUGAUCGUGGCUCAGGAUGAACGCUAGCGGCAGGCCUAAUACAUGCAAGUCGAGGGGCAGCGGGUGUAGCAAUACAUGCCGGCGACCGGCGCACGGGUGCGUAACACGUAUGUAAUCUACCUUUUACUGGAGAAUAGCCCGAAGAAAUUCGGAUUAAUAUUCCAUAAUAUCAUUGGGGGGCAUCUCUUGAUGAUUAAAGUUCCGACGGUAAAAGAUGAGCAUGCGCGAUAUUAGCUAGUUGGUGAGGUAACGGCUCACCAAGGCGACGAUAUCUAGGGGUACUGAGAGGUUACACCCCCACACUGGUACUGAGACACGGACCAGACUCCUACGGGAGGCAGCAGUAAGGAAUAUUGGACAAUGGUCGCAAGACUGAUCCAGCCAUGCCGCGUGCAGGAUGACUGCCCUAUGGGUUGUAAACUGCUUUUGUACGGGAAUAAACCGGGUACGUGUACCCGGCUGAAUGUACCGUAAGAAUAAGGGUCGGCUAAC